Molecule: unclassified non-coding RNA, 253 nt
Filed under: uncultured Flavobacteriaceae bacterium
Lineage: Bacteria; Pseudomonadati; Bacteroidota; Flavobacteriia; Flavobacteriales; Flavobacteriaceae
Description: contains 16S-23S intergenic spacer region
Rfam family: Bacterial small subunit ribosomal RNA
Source: RNAcentral
UACGGAGGGGACUAGCGUUAUCCGGAAUCAUUGGGUUUAAAGGGUCCGUAGGCGGGACAGUAAGUCGGUGGUGAAAGUCUGCAGCUUAACUGUAGAACUGCCAUUGAUGCUGCACACCUUGAGUAAUUAUGAAGUGGUUAGAAUAUGUAGUGUAGCGGUGAAAUGCAUAGAUAUUACAUAGAAUACCGAUUGCGAAGGCAGAUCACUAAUAAUUCACUGACGCUGAGGGACGAAAGCGUAGGUAGCGAACAGG